RNAcentral lists this non-coding RNA (191 nucleotides) under Copidosoma floridanum. Lineage: Eukaryota; Metazoa; Arthropoda; Insecta; Hymenoptera; Encyrtidae. The record is from RNAcentral.
AACGAGAACGAAUUAAUGGUACUCUGAGGCGACGACUCACUCGGCUCUUGUGUUCUACAGGUAUGAGGGAGUUUAACCCAAUAACCCAAUUUAAUAUCUAUGUGGUUCCCUUAGUCACUUGGGGUUUCCAUCGCAAAGCCGAUAAAAACCAGGAAGUGGCGGAUGUUGCGACGAUGUACCAAUUUUUUUUU